This 305-nucleotide ribosomal RNA is filed under the name uncultured bacterium. RNAcentral's name for it is "partial 16S ribosomal RNA". It matches the Rfam family "Bacterial small subunit ribosomal RNA", at positions 508 to 807 of the family's 1533-position model. The record is from RNAcentral.
ACAGCAGCCGCCACGGUAAUACGUAGGGUGCGAGCGUUAAUCGGAAUUACUGGGCGUAAAGCGUGCGCAGGCGGUUCGUUAAGACAGAUGUGAAAUCCCCGGGCUUAACCUGGGAACUGCAUUUGUGACUGACGGGCUAGAGUAUGGCAGAGGGGGGUAGAAUUCCACGUGUAGCAGUGAAAUGCGUAGAGAUGUGGAGGAAUACCGAUGGCGAAGGCAGCCCCCUGGGCCAAUACUGACGCUCAUGCACGAAAGCGUGGGGAGCAAACAGGAUUAGAUACCCGCGUAGUCCCUGUCUCUUAUAC